UCAGGCGGCCGGGCGGCCGCUCCGGGCCUCGCGCCCGGGGAGGAAAGUCCGGGCUCCAUGGAGAGACGGUGCCGGAUAACCUCCGGCGGGGGCGACCCCAGGGACAGUGCCACAGAGAGCAGACCGCUCCGGACGUGCCUUCGGGCCCGCCCCGGAGUCAGGGUGAAAGGGUGCGGUAAGAGCGCACCGCGGACGCGGCAACGCGGACGGCACGGCAAACCCCACCGGGAGCAAAACCGAAUAGGGGCGGCGCGCGGUCUCUCGCGAGGGAGCCGCAGGCCCUCUCUCCAGGCCAGUCGCCCGGGUUGGUUGCUCGAGGCGGUCGGCAACGGCCGUCCCAGAGGAAUGGCUGCCACGUCCCGGGUGCCGCGAGGCGUCCGGGGCCCUACAGAACCCGGCUUACAGGCCGCCUGAUCCG
RNAcentral lists this RNase P RNA (418 nucleotides) under Methylobacterium gregans. Its description in RNAcentral is "RNase P class A". It matches the Rfam family "Bacterial RNase P class A". From Rfam's summary of the family: Ribonuclease P (RNase P) is a ubiquitous endoribonuclease, found in archaea, bacteria and eukarya as well as chloroplasts and mitochondria. Lineage: Bacteria; Pseudomonadati; Pseudomonadota; Alphaproteobacteria; Hyphomicrobiales; Methylobacteriaceae. The record is from RNAcentral.